AUGAUGUGCGGUUUCAGUACUACUAGGUGUGAGGAGGAGGAGGUUAGCCUUGAUGGCCAGGUGGUACCUCGGAAGGACACCUUUCUGUAUUUGGGGUCAAUGUUGCAGGAGGAUGGGGGUAUUGAUGAAGAUGUGAACCAUCGAAUCAAAGCCGGAUGGAUGAAGUGGCGCCAAGCUUCUGGCAUUCUCUGUGACAAGAGAGUGCCACAAAAGCUAAAAGGCAAGUUCUACAGGACGGCGGUUCGACCCGCAAUGUUGUAUGGCGCGGAGUGUUGGCCUACUAAAAGGCGACAUGUUCAAUAG
This 303-nucleotide ribosomal RNA is filed under the name Triticum aestivum (bread wheat). RNAcentral describes it as "partial small subunit ribosomal RNA". Lineage: Eukaryota; Viridiplantae; Streptophyta; Magnoliopsida; Poales; Poaceae. The record is from RNAcentral.